UGUCUGUGGUGCUUCAGGCACCUGAAAGCUGGUCGGCUGGCAGUUGUAUCUGCCCGUUGAUUUUGAAGAUGGGUCUUUUCUCUGUAAACAAGAAUACAGCAUUUAUAAAUAACAGCAGGAAAGAGGAAGGAGGGGAAAGGAAGAGAAGUCAGUCUGCAAAGGAUGUGAUUGAGCUCAGCAAAUGGCAGCCCAACCAAGGACCACAUUUUCCAGCCUCCCUUGCAGCUAGACUCCACCUGAAACAUCAGCUCUUUCUGGAUCUCAAGCCUGCCAGCUUCAGACUGGAACUUACACCGUUGGCUUUCCUGGUUCUCAGGCAUUCAGACUCAGACUGGAACUAAACCAUCAGCUCCCCUGGGUCUGCAUCUUUCCAGCUCACCCUGCACAUCUUGGGAUUUGCCAGCCUCCCUAACUCCAUAGACACACCAGCCAAUUUUUUAUAAUACAGUUCUCUCUCUCUCUCUCUCUCUCUCUCUCUCUCUCUCUCUCUCUCUCUCCACUCAUACACACAUGCAUCCUAUUGAUUCUGUUUCUCUGGAGAAUCCUAACUAAUCCACUUUCUGAGUGCUAGGGCUUUGUGUAACUACACUGGUCACAUAUCCAUGAAGCUGGCCCUGUUUUUAUUUUCCUCACAUGCCACUACAUAUGAGGGAGGGAGAGAGGAAGGGAGGGAGAGAGAGGGAGAGAGAGAGACUAGUGAAGAAGAAAUUGCUUUUGUUUUAAUGAACUACUUACUAAUGUCUUGCUGUCAUCAUAAAGUACAAAUACAUUUUUUAUAUAUAACAAUAAAAGUACAGACCCCAUAAGACAGCUUACAAAUUCUAGUGACCAACAAUCAUAUAUUGAAACCUAUUGUUUUAGAAAAAUAUUAAUUUCAUAGACAGAAGGGGGAAGCGUCAGAAAUAAUAACUGAACCAGUACCUGUAUGUUAGUCCAACCCUCCUCCCUGGGCACAAUCUGUGGUGCAUUUUGAACUGUGGGACUGCAAGGCCUUAUCCAAAACCCUGGGGCCAGAUGUUAUCUUGGAUUUUUUAUAAAAGUGCUACAGUGUAAGUAUUUACACCGCCAGCAGACUCUGGGACAGUCCUGAAAUACAUGAACAUUUCUGCAGUAAAACACGUGAAUAUUUAUGCUCGUUGGUCAAAGACUGUAAAUAACCUUCUGUCAUUCCAGGUAAGAUUUUGUUUUCAAUGAGUCCAGGUGAGGUCAGAUUUUGCUGCCAAAUGAUUUACAAAAACUCCGUUUGUAGAGCUUUCUGGAUUUUGGAAAUGCAGGCCAGGUUAGUGGAUCUGUAGUUCCUGUUUCCUUGGUUGGCCUCCCCUGCCAUUCCUAUGCCCAUUCUGAUAGCAGUGAACUUGCGAACAAAAUGAGAGAGGAGAGCUUGCCUGGAGAGCAGCUAGUGAUACAUAGAAAAGGUCGAGAGGAAGGCUUAGGGUUUAAUGUUGUAAUUGCCUUCCACACCUUUUGGCCCAGACACUGAGAGCAACGUGAGCCAACAAAUGAAUCAGAACCAAGGUGCAGGAGACAAAAAUCCCCACGGCCUCUCCUGGAGCAGUUCCCUCCUGCCCCGUAGCACACACACAGAAACUUCCUCCUCAGGCCUCCCACAUGGGAAAAGUCAUCCAGCUCUUUACGGAAUAGUCAUAUAUGCUAACGGAGUUGUCCUUAAACUUAGAGAAAGAGCUUUCAAGAGAUGGUCUCCAACAUCCAGCCACAGGUUAACCAUAUGGAAGCAUGAUCUUAAUACAUAUGUUAGUAUACUAAAUGUAAUUAUAACUGGCUACCUCAUAUUUCCUCAGCAUAUCUCUAGUUACGCUCGCAGUUUAGUCGGAGUCUUAAAAUAUACCUAGGGGUCUUAUGAGCGUUUUAUGGCACGAUCUUGGGAAUUCUCAGACAUGUGGCCAUUGUAUAACAUUGUUCAAGGUCUUCUUUAGGGGAUGUCAUUUUCAAGCAAUUGAAUGUUGCUCCUGUGAAAGGUAAAGGAGGACUUUGCCUACAGGGACCCUUCUGCAUGGUGGUGUCCUCUCAUGCAUCUUGGACUCUCACCUACCCUUGAAGGUCCAAGGCCAAUGCCACCACAUCUACCAAAACCAGGAACACAGUCUUACUAGGUUCCUCCAGGCGAAAGGGAAUUCACUGACAUCUGAGUUCUCGCUGAUUCUGUGCCUUUUAUGUAGCAUCAAUUGCCUUUUACCUUGACACAUUAUAUCCUCUCCUUAAAUAUAACUGUUCUUUCUUGAAGGCACUCAUUUUUACAUCUGCAACUACUUUCAGACUAAGACCUUAAAUGGAAGUAAGUACCUAAUAAUGUUCUUUUUUUGUUUUUAAUCCUCACCUAAGGACAUGCCUUUACUGAUUUUAAAGGGAGAGGAAGAGAGACAAAAACAUCAAUGUGACAAUGAAACAUCAAUUGGUUGCCCCCUGCGCUUGCUCAGGCCAGAGAUCAAAGCCCAAGCUGGGUACGUACCUUGAUCAGGAAUCAAACCCGGUCAAGGGCACAUACUGUGUGGUGUACAGGACAAAUGAUGCUCCAACCAACUGAGCCACACUGGUCCUGGAAAUAAUGUUCUUAAUAAAUCAAUAAUUUUGGAUUUAAUUUUCCUUGUGUGGUAAUUUAAGUUAAAAAUUCCUAGUAGUCUAGUAAUUUGUGCAUUUUUUAGCAGCUGUUCAACAAAUAUGUUAAAUUGUGUAACCAAUUGUGUAUUAAAGAUUUUUCCUCUCUUUGUUACCAAUAUCUUAUUAUGGUAUUGCUUGUUGUUAUGAAUACUUGUACACUCCACUUUAUCAGUAUUUGUUUCCUUAUGAGUACCUUGAGAAAAUAAAUCCUAUCUUACGGAGGAUCUCUGAUGAGUUAUUGGCGAAACUAAAUUAGAAAGAUAGAGUGAACUUAUUAAAAAAGGAAGGAGAUUAUUCAUUA
Myotis daubentonii (Daubenton's bat) is the source of this 2917-nucleotide long non-coding RNA. RefSeq lists it as uncharacterized. The record is from RefSeq and is a predicted model, not a curated record. NCBI's taxonomy places the organism in Eukaryota, Metazoa, Chordata, Mammalia, Chiroptera, Vespertilionidae.